Molecule: long non-coding RNA, 509 nt
Organism: Photinus pyralis (common eastern firefly)
Lineage: Eukaryota; Metazoa; Arthropoda; Insecta; Coleoptera; Lampyridae
Exons: 2
Source: RefSeq, a predicted model, not a curated record
GGUGAUCAAUUCUCAUUCAUUGUAAAGAAAGCGAAAUCAAGUGGGGGAAUCCCUUUCUUCAUAUAUUUUUGUAUGUAGCGAGAAAUAGCCGACAUUUAUGCGGAUUAUCGGGUUAGAAGUAGUUCCCCAGGUUCAUCAUCCCCUUCUAUUUAGCGUAUAAAUUAACAUCAAGUUUUUUCAAAUGCAUUCGUCUUUGCUCUGGUUUCAUUCGACAAGUAACUCGCUCAACACUUCUUCAUGAAAUUCAGCGUUUUUGUAUUCGCGUUGGUGGUUUUGUCUGCAUUUGUAAAUAAUGCAGAAGCGAAAUGGAAAGGUUGGAAAAAAAUUGAAGAAGCUGGGAAAAGGGUGCUUAAGGCUGCCGAAAAGGUUUUACCUGUCGCUCAAGGCUAUGUAGGAGUAGCAGCAGCUGUAGGAAAAAAGUAAUUGAUCAAAUUAUUGCACUAAAGAUUGUCUUAUUUAUGUAUUUUUAUUGAUAAUAUUUUUUGUAAAUAAACUACAAAACAGAAGAA